This 497-nucleotide ribosomal RNA is filed under the name uncultured bacterium. RNAcentral's name for it is "partial 16S ribosomal RNA". It matches the Rfam family "Bacterial small subunit ribosomal RNA", at positions 28 to 507 of the family's 1533-position model. The record is from RNAcentral.
GAUGAACGCUGGCGGCGUGCCUAAUACAUGCAAGUCGAGCGAACGGACGAGAAGCUUGCUUUUCUGAUGUUAGCGGCGGACGGGUGAGUAACACGUGGAUAACCUACCUAUAAGACUGGGAUAACUUCGGGAAACCGGAGCUAAUACCGGAUAAUAUUUUGAACCGCAUGGUUCAAAAGUGAAAGACGGUCUUGCUGUCACUUAUAGAUGGAUCCGCGCUGCAUUAGCUAGUUGGUAAGGUAACGGCUUACCAAGGCAACGAUGCAUAGCCGACCUGAGAGAGUGAUCGGCCACACUGGAACUGAGACACGGUCCAGACUCCUACGGGAGGCAGCAGUAGGGAAUCUGCCGCAAUGGGCGAAAGCCUGACGGAGCAACGCCGCGUGAGUGAUGAAGGUCUUCGGAUCGGAAAACUCUGUUAUUAGGGAAGAACAUAUGUGUAAGUAACUGUGCACAUCUUGACGGUACCUAAUCAGAAAGCCACGGCUAACUACGUG